AGUGAACGCUGGCGGUAGGCCUAACACAUGCAAGUCGAACGGCAGCACAGUAAGAGCUUGCUCUUACGGGUGGCGAGUGGCGGACGGGUGAGGAAUACAUCGGAAUCUACUUUUUCGUGGGGGAUAACGUAGGGAAACUUACGCUAAUACCGCACACGACCUACGGGUGAAAGCAGGGGAUCUUCGGACCUUGCGCGAUUGAAUGAGCUGAUGUCGGAUUAGCUAGUUGGCGGGGUAAAGGCCCACCAAGGCGACGAUCCGUAGCUGGUCUGGGAGGAUGAUCAGCCACACUGGAACUGAGACACGGUCCAGACUCCUACGGGAGGCAGCAGUGGGGAAUAUUGGACAAUGGGCGCAAGCCUGAUCCAGCCAUACCGCGUGGGUGAAGAAGGCCUUCGGGUUGUAAAGCCCUUUUGUUGGGAAAGAAAAGCAGCAGGUUAAUACCCCGCUGUUCUGACGGUACCCAAAGAAUAAGCACCGGCUAACUUCGUG
Molecule: ribosomal RNA, 492 nt
Filed under: uncultured bacterium
Lineage: Bacteria
Description: partial 16S ribosomal RNA
Rfam family: Bacterial small subunit ribosomal RNA
Source: RNAcentral